CCUACGGUAGGCAGCAGUGAGGAAUAUUGGUCAAUGGACGAGAGUCUGAACCAGCCAAGUAGCGUGAAGGAUGACUGCCCUAUGGGUUGUAAACUUCUUUUAUAAAGGAAUAAAACGAGGCACGUGUGCCUUUUUGCAUGUACUUUAUGAAUAAGGAUCGGCUAACUCCGUGCCAGCAGCCGCGGUAAUACGGAGGAUCCGAGCGUUAUCCGGAUUUAUUGGGUUUAAAGGGAGCGUAGAUGGGUUGUUAAGUCAGUUGUGAAAGUUUGCGGCUCAACCGUAAAAUUGCAAUUGAUACUGGCAGUCUUGAGUACAGUUGAGGUAGGCGGAAUUCGUGGUGUAGCGGUGAAAUGCUUAGAUAUCACGAAGAACCCCGAUUGCGAAGGCAGCUCACUAAACUGUGACUGACAUUGAUGCUCGAAAGUGUGGGUAUCAAACAGGAUUAGAUACCCCUGUAGUC
RNAcentral lists this ribosomal RNA (460 nucleotides) under uncultured bacterium. RNAcentral's name for it is "partial 16S ribosomal RNA". It matches the Rfam family "Bacterial small subunit ribosomal RNA", at positions 338 to 795 of the family's 1533-position model. The record is from RNAcentral.